This 460-nucleotide ribosomal RNA is filed under the name uncultured bacterium. RNAcentral's name for it is "partial 16S ribosomal RNA". It matches the Rfam family "Bacterial small subunit ribosomal RNA", at positions 338 to 795 of the family's 1533-position model. The record is from RNAcentral.
CCUACGGGGUGCAGCAGUGAGGAAUAUUGGUCAAUGGACGAGAGUCUGAACCAGCCAAGUAGCGUGAAGGAUGACUGCCCUAUGGGUUGUAAACUUCUUUUAUAUGGGAAUAAAAUGUUCCACGUGUGGGAUUUUGUAUGUACCAUAUGAAUAAGGAUCGGCUAACUCCGUGCCAGCAGCCGCGGUAAUACGGAGGAUCCGAGCGUUAUCCGGAUUUAUUGGGUUUAAAGGGAGCGUAGGUGGAUUGUUAAGUCAGUUGUGAAAGUUUGCGGCUCAACCGUAAAAUUGCAGUUGAAACUGGCAGUCUUGAGUACAGUAGAGGUGGGCGGAAUUCGUGGUGUAGCGGUGAAAUGCUUAGAUAGCACGAAGAACUCCGAUUGCGAAGGCAGUUCACUGGACUGCAACUGACACUGAGGCUCGAAAGUGUGGGUAUCAAACAGGAUUAGAUACCCCAGUAGUC